This 493-nucleotide ribosomal RNA is filed under the name uncultured bacterium. Its description in RNAcentral is "bacterial SSU rRNA". It matches the Rfam family "Bacterial small subunit ribosomal RNA", at positions 28 to 511 of the family's 1533-position model. The record is from RNAcentral.
GAUGAACGCUAGCGGCAGGCUUAACACAUGCAAGUCGAGGGGCAGCAUAAACAUUGCUUGCAAUGUUUGAUGGCGACCGGCGCACGGGUGCGUAACGCGUAUGUAACCUACCUCAAACAGGGGCAUAACACUGAGAAAUUGGUACUAAUUCCCCAUAACACUUUGGAGGGCAUCCUCUGGGGUUGAAAGUUCCGGCGGUUUGGGAUGGACAUGCGUUGUAUUAGCUAGUUGGUGAGGUAACGGCUCACCAAGGCGACGAUACAUAGGGGGACUGAGAGGUUAACCCCCCACAUUGGUACUGAGACACGGACCAAACUCCUACGGGAGGCAGCAGUGAGGAAUAUUGGUCAAUGGACGCAAGUCUGAACCAGCCAUGCCGCGUGCAGGAUGACGGCUCUAUGAGUUGUAAACUGCUUUUGUAUGAGGGUAAUAACGGGUACGUGUACCUGCUUGAAAGUAUCAUACGAAUAAGGAUCGGCUAACUCCGUGCCAG